GUAGGGAAGCGCUGUUCAGCCCGCCGCUCAGAGAGCAGCCUGUGUGCCACCGGAGCUGUGCCUCACGGUCCCCGCUGUGCAGUGCACGUCUCGGAGUCAAGGGGCUCAGGAUGCCUUUGGGCUGCUGUCCCGAGUGUAAGCCUAGCACCAGAAAUCAUCCUGUGGUCAUGCAAACAGCUGUGUCAGUAUAAAAGCAUGACAGUGAGGAGUGGUGGAAGACAAGAAGAGAAGUACUGCUGCCUAGUACUUUUUGAUUUCCCCCUGCUCUUCACCCCAGUGCUCUGCCACCCCUCACCUGCAGUGCUGGGGUGCACACAGGGGCUGCAGCACCUCCAGAUGAUUAAGGUAAGUGUGACUGUGUCGUGCAUGUCCUGCAGCCAGCACAAGGCUGCUGUGCUUCUGUUCAGGAUGUCCUCCCAAAAUACAUUUGGUACUUACUGAACCUAAUAUGGGGGGAAAAAAAUUGGGGAAGAAUGAGAAGGUAGAGGCCUAGGAGAGCUGGGCUAGAUCACAAAGCAUAACUGUAACUCAAAGCAGGACCCAAGAUACUGCAGAAGUGUUGGUGUCUAAUAACUUCAGCAUCACACAAUUGUUGUUGUGUGUCUUCAGGAUCCCAGUUUCAGUAUGUUUCUCACUUCUAUCAUGCUCUGCAGUGCCGAUGUAGUGCAUCCAGUGCUGCUCUCUGAUCCUGUAAUCAGGUAUGUUGCUUAUAUGUAGUAAAUCCCACACUUCUGGGAUACUGAAUGUACUGUGUAUUCACCAGGCAACCACAUCCCAUUCAUAGAAUAAGAUCAGUGCUUCCUGGUCUGGUUUCCUGCAAACAGAUUGUACAAUAGGUCAGCACAGGUCCUGGGGAUAUGUCCAGGUUUUCCACAUGUGUAGCCUUCCUAUCCAAGCUGCAGUACAGACAAUCCUCAAACAUCUGUGCAGGAAAAUUUUCUGGGCAGGAAAAUAUAUCUAGCAAAUCUGGACGGAGCAUAGCACCAAGUCAGAGCCUCCAACACAUCAUGAAGCACUGGACCAAGCUCCCAAAGAGAAAUGUGAGGAAUCUUUGCACUGGCAUUUUUGAGACUAGAAAAAUAUCUGCCAUGGUGAAGUCAGCCUAAACUAGACCCUUCACAGCCUUAUUUCUUGUAAGAAGCUACGAGUUUGACUCUCUGCAGCAUAAAGAAUGGCAAGCACAGUCUGUUCUCUGCUGUGCAACCUGCUCUCUCCUUCUCCAGCCUCUUGCUGGAAUCAGUGUGAAACCCAGUGCACACACUUGGGGCUGGACACAGAAAAGGGAGAUUUGUAUGCAAUGAGUCUGUGUAUUCAUGCAUGAGAGAAACUGUGGCAGCAAUGGUGUUCCCUCAUAGUAAUGCAGAGCAAGACGGAAAUGGGAUGAAGUUUUUUUCAGGAUUAAAAUAAGCAGAACAAGAGCCAAUUGUUGUUUUGGGGAAGAGGAAAGCAGUUGAUGUCAAAAUGUUUCACCGACUUGGCAAAAAUGCCAAGCUGGCCCUGCCUGCAGAAUACAAGGACUUCAAAGGGCUUAUCUUGAAUAAGAAUUGAGGGAGCCAGAUCACUGUUUCCUACAUGAAUUCAGCUGAGGUUAAAUGAUAUGCAAGGCUAUAUCCCAAGGGUGUGUUUUUCUGCUGAUGCCAGCCAAGUUGCUGACAUCUCUACCUGCAGGUUUGUGGGAUCAGUCUUGCUUUAGCUGCCUACAACCAGAGGGAGCUCAGUUCUGACAUAGCACCAGGAAGAGUGGGUCACACUCUCACAACUUGUCACUUCAGGAGCGCUGGUCCACAAUGGGAACACUGAAACAGAUGGUGAGGCCCUUGCUCCAGCGGUGAGCCAGUACUCAGGAGGGGCGUGUGGUUCUUAAACAGGAUGCAGGCUGAAUAACCCUCCAUUCCUGAAGAGGGUGGUCCCCAAAGGUCAGGGCUGCCUUCAAUGGUGUGGCAGCAUGAGAGGAAACUGCCUCAGAGGGUGCUUUCAUAAUGCUCAGACUAUGAAUAAAUUCAGCCUGUUGUACUCUGGGUUCCCAAGUGUUACUCAUUAAAAAUGUGAAUAAGGAGAAUAAGGUUAGGAAAAGAACAAUUCUCCAGCUAAACUUUCCUUACAGAAUGAACAGGGGUCCUCCUCCCCCCCACCCUUUGUCUGAUUUCAAAGAGCUUUGCAUCCAGUGCAGGAGUUCUCUUUGCUGCCUGGGAGGAACAUAUGGAUUGUAGAUGACACAAGCCUGGAAGUGCUUAGCUCACUGAGUAACAGAAUACCUGGGGUUGGAAGGGGCCUCUUGAUGUGAUCUAGUGCAAACCUCUGCUUAAGCAGGGCCACCUACAGCAGGUUUCUCAGGACCACGUCCUGUCAGAUUUUGCAAAUCCCCACUUAUGGAGGCUUCGCAGCCUCUCUGGGCAACUGAACAGACAGGCAAUGACCAAAGACCUGAUGUCAGUACAGAUCAUUUUGACACUUCUUACCUUUAUGGUAAAUUAUAAAAGUAUAACCUGAAUAAACGUACUUGAUAUUCAUUCAUUGACUCUGGUUCUGGUGAGACUGGGUAUAAAAUUAUGUGGACCAAGGCUGAUCCAUACUUAACCCAGUUGCAUAAUUCUGGGAAAAACGCAGUCAAAGAAACAGUUAGGUUCUGCAUGGGAUUAACAUACUGUGGUCCCAUGGGAACUCUCCCAGUUCAUGACAGGAGCAGCCAUUCCUCCAGUCAUUGCUGUGCUAAUUUAGUGGAAGGAGGACCAAGGGUCUCUGAACCUGUUAAAACAAUAAAUCCAGAAAAACAAUGAAAGUUUUCCAUCCUUUAAAACAGAGUUUUCUAAGAAUAUUUGUCCCUUAAAUUCCAGAAGAUGAGGGAACAGAUAGGGUCACGCUUUCUGUUCUCAUGCUUCAG
Molecule: non-coding RNA, 2881 nt
Organism: Sturnus vulgaris (Common starling)
Lineage: Eukaryota; Metazoa; Chordata; Aves; Passeriformes; Sturnidae
Source: RefSeq, a predicted model, not a curated record